AUGCUCAUAGCGGCCGUCUACGUCGCAGGAGCGCAGAACAAAAAGCUCAGCCAUCGGCCGGAGAGCACGCGAGAAAUCAAUUCGUCCGACGACAUGGCGGCGGGAGCAGCGGGAGGAGGGAGUGACGAGCUCAAGCUGCUGGGGGCCUGGGUGAGCCCGUUCGUGCACCGGGUGCAGGUCGCGCUGCACCUCAAGGGGCUCACCGGCUACGAGUACGCCGAGGAGGACCUCACCAACAAGAGCGACCUCCUCCUCGCCUCCAACCCCGUGCACACCAAGGUCCCCGUGCUCCUCCAUGCCGGCAAGCCCGUCUGCGAGUCCAUGCUCAUCGUGCAGUACCUCGACGAGGCCUUCCCCCGUUCCGGCCCCGCCCUCCUCCCCGCCGACCCCCAUGACCGCGCCGUCGCGCGCUUCUGGGCCGCCUAUGCCGACGACCAGUUCUUUGCCUCGUGGAUCAAGGCGUUCGUGGGGAUGACGGACGAGGAGAGGGCGGCGGCGACGGAAGCCGCGGUGGCAGCGCUGCAGAAGAUGGAGGGCGCGUUCGGCGAGUGCUCCAAGGGCAAGGCCUUCUUCGGCGGCGACGGCCCGGGGUACGUGGACAUCGCGCUUGGCGGGUUCGUCGCGUGGAUACGCGCGUUCCACGCGGUGGCCGGCGUGAACCUCCUGGACGCCGCCCGGACCCCGUUGCUGGCGGCCUGGGCGGAGCGCUUUGCCGCGCUCGACGCCGCCAAGGAGGUCAUCCCGGACGUCGACCGCAUCGCCGAGUUCGCCAAGCACGAUCUGCUGCCGCUGCUCCAGAAACUGCAUCCGAAAAACUGA
RNAcentral lists this ribosomal RNA (819 nucleotides) under Triticum aestivum (bread wheat). RNAcentral's name for it is "partial small subunit ribosomal RNA". The record is from RNAcentral. Lineage: Eukaryota; Viridiplantae; Streptophyta; Magnoliopsida; Poales; Poaceae.